AGACCCGAAACCCGGUGAUCUAGCCAUGGGCAGGUUGAAGGUUGGGUAACACUAACUGGAGGACCGAACCGACUAAUGUUGAAAAAUUAGCGGAUGACCUGUGGCUGGGGGUGAAAGGCCAAUCAAACCGGGAGAUAGCUGGUUCUCCCCGAAAGCUAUUUAGGUAGCGCCUCGUGAAUUCAUCUCCGGGGGUAGAGCACUGUUUCGGCUAGGGGGCCAUCCCGGCUUACCAACCCGAUGCAAACUGCGAAUACCGGAGAAUGUUAUCACGGGAGACACACGGCGGGUGCUAACGUCCGUCGUGAAGAGGGAAACAACCCAGACCGCCAGCUAAGGUCCCAAAGUCAUGGUUAAGUGGGAAACGAUGUGGGAAGGCCCAGACAGCCAGGAUGUUGGCUUAGAAGCAGCCAUCAUUUAAAGAAAGCGUAAUAGCUCACUGGUCGAGUCGGCCUGCGCGGAAGAUGUAACGGGGCUAAACCAUGCACCGAAGCUGCGGCAGCGAACGUAUCACCCAAGACAACUUUACGGAGUUGACGAUUGACGGAGCGAAGCGACGUCAAAGCGUUCAUUAAAGUCGAGUUGGCUUAGGGAUACGUUCGUUGGGUAGGGGAGCGUUCUGUAAGCCUGUGAAGGUGUGUCGUGAGGCAUGCUGGAGGUAUCAGAAGUGCGAAUGCUGACAUAAGUAACGAUAAAGCGGGUGAAAAGCCCGCUCGCCGGAAGACCAAGGGUUCCUGUCCAACGUUAAUCGGGGCAGGGUGAGUCGACCCCUAAGGCGAGGCCGAAAGGCGUAGUCGAUGGGAAACGGGUUAAUAUUCCCGUACUUGGUGUUACUGCGAAGGGGGGACGGAGAAGGCUAUGUUGGCCGGGCGACGGUUGUCCCGGUUUAAGCGUGUAGGUGUGUGUUCCAGGUAAAUCCGGUUCACUUUAACACUGAGGCGUGACGACGAGGCACUACGGUGCUGAAGCAACAAAUGCCCUGCUUCCAGGAAAAGCCUCUAAGCAUCAGGUAACACGAAAUCGUACCCCAAACCGACACAGGUGGUCAGGUAGAGAAUACCAAGGCGCUUGAGAGAACUCGGGUGAAGGAACUAGGCAAAAUGGUGCCGUAACUUCGGGAGAAGGCACGCUGACACGUAGGUGAAGUGAUUUACUCAUGGAGCUGAAGUCAGUCGAAGAUACCAGCUGGCUGCAACUGUUUAUUAA
Molecule: ribosomal RNA, 1203 nt
Filed under: Salmonella enterica subsp. enterica serovar Typhimurium
Lineage: Bacteria; Pseudomonadati; Pseudomonadota; Gammaproteobacteria; Enterobacterales; Enterobacteriaceae
Description: partial 23S ribosomal RNA
Rfam family: Bacterial large subunit ribosomal RNA
Source: RNAcentral